AUGGAGUCGGUGGAGGCGCUCGUGGCGCACAUCCAGGGUCUCUCCGGGAGCCCGGACGAGCUGGCGCAGCUCCACGGCCUCCUCAAGCAGGCCGACGGCGACGCCCUGCGCGUCCACUCCGCCGGCCUCCUGNNNNNNNNNNNNNNNNNNNNNNNNNNNNNNNNNNNNNNNNNNNNNNNNNNNNNNNNGGAUUCUUUCGUGUCGUCGUCUGCUAAUCUGAGGGCGCACGCCGGCGGGGACCUUCUUGUGACCGUGGCCGAUUUCCUCACCUCUUGCUCGGCCGACCAGAUACGCAUGGCGCCCGACAAAUUUUUGAAUGUCUGUAGGGUGCUCAAGAACGAGGUCAUGCAGCUCAAUGCGCCGAUCCGAGGGAUUGCUCCGCUUCGGGCUGCUGUCCGCAAGAUCCAGACAUCGUCAGAGCAGCUUACCCCACUCCACGCUGAAUACCUGAUGCUGUGCCUGCUGGCCAAGCAGUACAAGGCUGGCCUGAGCGUCCUGGAAGACGAUAUAUUUGAAGUUGAUCAGCCCAAGGACUUGUUCCUUUACUGCUACUACGGGGCGAUGAUAUACAUUGGGCUGAAGAAGUUCCGUAAAGCAUUGGAGCUUCUUCACAAUGCUGUUACUGCCCCAAUGUCGUCAUUGAAUGCAAUUACUGUCGAGGCUUACAAGAAGUAUGUCCUAGUUUCACUCAUUCAGAGUGGACAGGUUCCGUCAUUCCCCAAGUACACAUCUUCGACUGCUCAAAGGAAUCUGAAAAAUCACACUCAGAUUUACGUUGAUCUGUCUACAUGCUAUGGUACUGGUAGCUACUCUGAUUUGGAAACAUUCAUCCAGUCAAAUGCAGAGGCCUUCCAAACUGAUAACAACUUUGGACUAGUGAAGCAAGUGCUCUCUUCAAUGUACAAGCGAAACAUCCAGAGGCUGACCCAGACCUACUUAACUCUUUCACUUGAAGACAUUGCCAGCUCUGUUCAACUUAACACCCCGAAAGAAGCUGAGAUGCAUGUACUUAGGAUGAUUGAAGAUGGUGAGAUCCAUGCAACGAUAAACCAGAAGGAUGGCAUGGUCAGCUUUAAUGAAGAUCCCGAGCAAUAUAAAAGUAGUGAGAUGGUGGAGCACAUCGACUCUUCUAUUCAAAGGUUGAUGGCUUUGUCCAAGAAGCUGACCUCAAUUGAUCAGAACAUCUCGUGCGAUCAUGCAUUUUUGAUGAAGAGUGGAAGGGAACGUGCAAGAUUCGACUAUGAUGACUUUGACUCGGUUCCACACAAAUAUUUUUGA
Molecule: ribosomal RNA, 1278 nt
Filed under: Triticum aestivum (bread wheat)
Lineage: Eukaryota; Viridiplantae; Streptophyta; Magnoliopsida; Poales; Poaceae
Description: partial small subunit ribosomal RNA
Source: RNAcentral